AUUUGCUGAAACUCAGGAACUGUGUGCCUAAAAUUUUGUUUUAUGUUGCUUCUGUCUCACAGGUUGGUUGUACAACUGGAGAACAGCUUCCAAAUUAAAAACAAAAAAUAUUCAGAGUAAUGCCCUCGAGACUGACAGCUUUGAAAGUCUUUUAUUACAGGGAGAUCUCGACCAAGAACCUAGAAGGGUAGAGGGAAAGUGACUUUUCCUCUCCCUGCAGACGUACAUCUCACAAGGCACAAGCCUUCCGGACACUAGCCUCAUUCAGUGUUAUAGCAACUCUGUCCCACAAUAAAUACAGGUUUGUUCUCUUAAGAGGUACUCUG
Molecule: long non-coding RNA, 326 nt
Filed under: Felis catus (domestic cat)
Lineage: Eukaryota; Metazoa; Chordata; Mammalia; Carnivora; Felidae
Description: lncRNA (ENSFCAG00000044417.2)
Source: RNAcentral